This 440-nucleotide ribosomal RNA is filed under the name uncultured bacterium. Its description in RNAcentral is "bacterial SSU rRNA". It matches the Rfam family "Bacterial small subunit ribosomal RNA", at positions 338 to 793 of the family's 1533-position model. The record is from RNAcentral.
CCUACGGGUGGCUGCAGUCGAGAAUAUUCCGCAAUGGACGAAAGUCUGACGGAGCGACGCCGCGUGCAGGAAGAAGCCCUUCGGGGUGUAAACUGCUUUUAUGUGGGAAGAAUUUGUGACGGUACCACAUGAAUAAGAGGUUGCUAACUCUGUGCCAGCAGCAGCGGUAAUACAGAGACCUCAAACGUUAUCCGGAUUCAUUGGGCGUAAAGCGUCCGCAGGUGGUGUGGGAAGUCGAUGGUCAAAUACUCGGGCUUAACCCGAGUACUGCUGUCGAAACUCCCACGCUCGAGGCUGGAAGAGGCAAGCGGAAUUCUCGGUGUAGUCGUAAUAAGCGCUGAUAUCGAGAAGAACACCAAAGGCAAAGGCAGCUUGCUAGAACAUGCCUGACACUCAUGGACGAAAGCGUGGGGAGCGAAUAGGAUUAGAUACCCGAGUAG